Molecule: ribosomal RNA, 478 nt
Filed under: Botrytis prunorum
Lineage: Eukaryota; Fungi; Ascomycota; Leotiomycetes; Helotiales; Sclerotiniaceae
Description: eukaryotic LSU rRNA
Rfam family: Eukaryotic large subunit ribosomal RNA
Source: RNAcentral
AAGGGCGAGUGAAGCGGUAAAAGCUCAAAUUUGAAAUCUGGCUCUUUUAGAGUCCGAAUUGUAAUUUGUAGAAGAUGCUUCGGGUGUGGUUCCGGUCUAAGUUCCUUGGAACAGGACGUCAUAGAGGGUGAGAAUCCCGUAUGUGACUGGAUACCUAUGCUCAUGUGAAGCUCUUUCGACGAGUCGAGUUGUUUGGGAAUGCAGCUCAAAAUGGGAGGUAUAUUUCUUCUAAAGCUAAAUAUUGGCCAGAGACCGAUAGCGCACAAGUAGAGUGAUCGAAAGAUGAAAAGCACUUUGGAAAGAGAGUUAAACAGUACGUGAAAUUGUUGAAAGGGAAGCGCUUGCAAUCAGACUUGCACUUGGUGUUCAUCAGGGUCUCGUACCCUGUGUACUUCAUCAAGUUCAGGCCAGCAUCAGUUUGAGUGGUUAGAUAAAGGCUUAGAGAAUGUGGCCCUCUUCGGGGGGUGUUAUAGCUCUA